This 465-nucleotide ribosomal RNA is filed under the name uncultured bacterium. RNAcentral describes it as "bacterial SSU rRNA". It matches the Rfam family "Bacterial small subunit ribosomal RNA", at positions 917 to 1382 of the family's 1533-position model. The record is from RNAcentral.
GGGCCCGCACAAGCGGUGGAGCAUGUGGUUCAAUUCGACGCAACGCGAAGAACCUUACCUGGGCUCGAAGCACAGUGGACCGGGGUAGAAAUACCCCUUUUCGCAAGAACUGCUGUGGAGGUGCUGCAUGGCUGUCGUCAGCUCGUGUCGUGAGAUGUUGGGUUAAGUCCCGCAACGAGCGCAACCCUUAUCGUUAGUUGCCAGCGAGUCAAGUCGGGCACUCUAGCGAAACCGCCCCGGAUAACGGGGAGGAAGGUGGGGAUGACGUCAAGUCCUCAUGGCCUUUAUGUCCAGGGCUACACACGUGCUACAAUGGUCGGUACAAACCGUCGCAAACCUGCGAAGGGGAGCUAAUCGGAAAAAGCCGGCCUCAGUUCGGAUUGGAGUCUGCAACUCGACUCCAUGAAGCUGGAAUCGCUAGUAAUCGCGGAUCAGCACGCCGCGGUGAAUACGUUCCCGGGCCUU